AUUGAACGCUGGCGGCAUGCUUUACACAUGCAAGUCGAACGGUAACAGGCCUUCGGGUGCUGACGAGUGGCGAACGGGUGAGUAAUGCAUCGGAACGUGCCCAGAGGUGGGGGAUAACGCAGCGAAAGCUGUGCUAAUACCGCAUGUGAUCUGAGGAUGAAAGCGGGGGACCAGGCAGCAAUGUUUGGCCUCGCGCCUUUGGAGCGGCCGAUGUCAGAUUAGGUAGUUGGUGGGGUAAAGGCCUACCAAGCCGACGAUCUGUAGCUGGUCUGAGAGGACGACCAGCCACACUGGGACUGAGACACGGCCCAGACUCCUACGGGAGGCAGCAGUGGGGAAUUUUGGACAAUGGGCGCAAGCCUGAUCCAGCAAUGCCGCGUGCGGGAAGAAGGCCUUCGGGUUGUAAACCGCUUUUGUACGGAACGAAAAGGCUCUGGCAAAUACCUGGGGCUGAUGACGGUACCGAAAGAAUAAGCACCGGCUAACUACGUG
This 492-nucleotide ribosomal RNA is filed under the name uncultured bacterium. RNAcentral describes it as "partial 16S ribosomal RNA". It matches the Rfam family "Bacterial small subunit ribosomal RNA", at positions 29 to 507 of the family's 1533-position model. The record is from RNAcentral.